Hemiscyllium ocellatum (epaulette shark) is the source of this 4755-nucleotide long non-coding RNA. RefSeq lists it as uncharacterized. Lineage: Eukaryota; Metazoa; Chordata; Chondrichthyes; Orectolobiformes; Hemiscylliidae. The record is from RefSeq and is a predicted model, not a curated record. The transcript is spliced from 2 exons.
CCCACCUCCGGGUGAAAUCAAAGGUCUCUCUCCACUUGACCCCCUUGUGCCGUGGAAUUUCUGAAACCAAAAGGUGCCCCAAGGUUCAUCCACAAUAAUACUGAGCUGCGUCAGAGUACGCAGAGAGAGAGAGAGUUGAGGAAAGUAGAUCUGGAGCACUCACCUCUCGGGGUUGUGAGCGACCCUUUUCCUCUUUCUGCCCACGAAGAGGUUCCUGGUGCUGGCGAUCAUGCUACACAGUGCGGGACGGCCCUUCAGCCCGACUGUCGGACUUGACAUGCUCCGAGCUGGAGGGAGCGGUGAAACCGAGGAGCGCUCUCUCUCUGUGUGUGUGUGUGUGUGUGAAGUGACGGAGCAGGAACUCUGGGGCUUGCCGUUCUCUGUGUCUGAACUCGUCAGGACGGCGAGCCGCCGCUGGGAGAACACACUCGUCAAACCGAAAGUCCGAUGAGCGUUCUCUCAGCACGACAGUGAAUAAUUCCAGUACCAACUAGCGUGAUCGAUUCAUGCCGAGAUAAAUUACCCACCGUGUCUCCAACUGGCUACUUCACUGACCUGCUGUGUAGAUCUCAUGCCAAGAGAAAUCGAUUCUACAACAGGCAGGGAGGAGCGCCAAGAAGUGCCCAGUCUGUCAGGAAAUUGGCCAAGAGGUGAAAGUGGAGAUAGAUUUCUAAUCAGGAAGGAAUAUGGAGGAAAAGGCGGGAAAGUGGGGUUGAGGAUGAUCAGAUCAGCUUCGACCUCAUUGAACUGUGGGGCAGACUCGAUGGGCUGAAUGGACUAUGCCUCGUGGUUUUUUUUUACUUUGGUCAGUCACAAACGACGUCUCCCAUGAGCUGAUGUUUUCAGGAAAGCCCACACCCCACUGGCCCCUGGGAGUCUCCUGCCUUGGCCCAGUUCUGAAUGGGGCAGUUGCUUCGGUAUUCUGGGCACAUGAACUUGGAGUGGCUGUAUGCCAGACCAAAGCAGGCACACUCCAAUGGGAAUUUAGCCCAUCAGAGAAUCCUCACCCCCCAUGGAUGGACAACACUCUGACUGAGGGUGAAUGAGGGAGUUGGGACACUCUGGUUCAACUGUUUGAUACAGUGCUGUUCAAAACCAACCCAAACAGGGUUGUGAACACAGUAGUUUCUCCCUCAAUAGCACAGAAUUGCAAAGUGAUUUCCUUUCACCUAGCAGGAGACCCAGCAUUGGUGCUCCAAGGGUCAGAAAGUUGGCUACUGCUUCGAGAUGUUUGAAAAGUAACACACAAUGCACAAGAAUGAAUAUUUUUGCACAAUGAAAUCCAUUUUCAAAGAUGGUUAUAUUACCGACUGAUGUCUGAUCUGCAAAGUGGUGGGGUCAGUCACUCUCAGUACAACUCAGACUCUCAUUACAGCUCACAUCUCAGUCAUCACGGGUAUAGGGAAUGCAUCCGAGCAAGCCUUUGAGUGGUUCAGUGGGUAAUGCACUCACCCCUGAGACAUAUGAUGGCCCAGUGGUUAGCACUGCUGCCUCACAGCGCUAGGGGCCUGGGUUCACGCCCAGCCUCGGGCGACUGUGUGGAGUUUGCACAUUCUCCCCCUGUCUGUGUGGGUUUCCUCCGGGUGCUCCGGUUUCCUCCCACAGUCCAAAGUUAUGCAGGUUAGAUGGUUUGGCCACAGGAAAUUGUCCCAUAGUGUCCAGGGAAGUGGAGGUUAGGGUAGAUUGGCCAUGCUAAAUUGUCCCAUAGUGCCCAAGGAUGUGGAGGUUAGGGUAGAUUGGCCAUGCUAAAUUGUCCCAUAGUGCCCAAGGAUGUGCUGGUUAGGGUGGGUUAGCUGUGGGAAAUUACCCUGUCGUGUGCAGGUAGGUGGGUUAACCAUGGAAAAUGCAGAGUGGGGGGCUGGUUCUGGGUGGGAUACUCUUUGGAGGAUUGGUGCAAAGGUGAUGGGCUGAAUGGCCUCUUUCUGCACUGUAGGGAUUCUAUAAAUCUGUGGUUCACUCCAGGGUCUGGAGUACUGAGUCCAGUUCUGGUCAUGCUGUUAUAGGAAGGCUAUUAUGAAGCUGGAGUGGGUUCAGAACAGAUUUACCAGGAUGUUGCCGGGUAUGGAAGGUUUGAGUUACAGAGAAAGGCUAGGACCUUUUUCACUGGAGUGUAGGAGGUUGAGAAGUGAUCUGAUGGAAGCUUAUAAAAUAAUGAGGGGUACAGAAUGGUAAUUGUCGUUUCCCUAGGGUGGGGAGUUCAAGACUUCGGGGAGGGGGGGAACAAUAUUUUUAAGGUGAAAGGAGAGAGAUUUUAAAAAGACACGAGGGACAAAUGGUUUACACAGAGGGUGGUUCGUGUGUGGAAUGAACUUCCUGAGGAAGUGGUGGAUGUGGGUACAGUCACAACAUUUAAAAGAAAUUUGGAUAAGGACAUGAAGGGGAAAGGUUUGGAGGGACAUGGGCCAGGAGCAGGCAGGUGGGACUAGGUUAGGAUUAUGUUCAGCAUGGACUGAAGGGUCUGUUUCCAUGCUGUAUGAUACUAUGAUACUCUAAUUCUGCACUGUUAGUAAAUGUUGCCUUGCAGACAAGCUGGUAAACCAAGGGUCCUGUCUGUUCAGGUGGAUGUAGCAGAGGGUCCAGUACUGCUGUGUCGAUGGAUGAGAGAGGAAUUUCCCGCUGCUAUAGUAACUGCUGUGUACAUAUCAUCACAAGCAAAGGUUGAGGAAGCUCUGGAUGUGCUGUACUCCACCACUAACACCCCGAGGCCCUGCUUAUUGUAAUUGGCGACUUCAAUCAAACCAAUCUAAGGAAGGUGUUACCCAGGUACCACCAGAACAUUACCUGCCCCAGCAGGGGCCUGAACAUUUUCGAGUACUGCUACACCACUGUGAAGGAUGCCUACCGCUCCACCCCAUGCCCUCAUUCUGGGAACUUGGACCACAGUACCAUGUUUCUUCUCCCGGCUUACAGGCAAACGAUUAAGCAAAAUUCCCCUCGUGGAUGCAGGUCCAGUGCUGGUCGGCAAAGGGAGAGGAUCAACUCCGGUUAUGUCUGGAAUCGGCUGAUGUUCAAACAGUAAGCAGGUAUCUUGGAUGAGUACGCCACGACGGUCACAGACUUUAUCAGCAAGGUGUGUGGAGGACUGCAUACCAACGAAGUCAACCCGGGUGUUCCCCAACAGGAAACCCUGGAUGAAUCAUGACAUACAGAACCUGCUAAUAACCAGGCAUGAGGCCUUCAGAUCAGGAGACCCACUCAAAUAUAAGGAAUCCAAAUGUGACCUUCGCAGAGCCAUUAGGACAACCAAGGACCAAUACCGAUCCAAACCAGAGACCCAGACAGACACCCAGCGACUAUGGCAAGGACUGAAUAACAUCACAGGUUCUAAGAAGCAGUGCAAGAUAGCAGAUAAUGACACAUUCCUCCCAGAUCGUCUCAACGCCUUCUAUACUCACUUUGAGCAGAAUUUCGGUGGAGAGGUAACAUCCACUCCGACAAGUCCUAAUGAACCUAUCCCAAAGUCACUCCAUCAAAGGUCAGAUCAGUUUUCCUUCCUGUGAAUCCAAGGAAAGCGAUGGGACCAGACGGAGUAUCAGGCCGUGCACUCAGAGCAUGUGCAGAUCAACUGGCAGAGGUCUUCCUGGACAUCUGCAACUUCUCCCUGCAACAGGCCACUGUCCCUGCCUGUUCCAAGAGGGCCAUCAUCAUCCCUGUGCCUAAGAAGGCUCAUGCAGCAUGUCUCAAUGACUACCGCCCAGUGGCCCUAACAUCUGUGGUCAUAAAGUGCUUUGAAAGGCUGGCCAUGGCAUUAAUCAACUCCAGCUUCCCCACUACUCUUGACCCACUCCAAUCUGCCUAUCGGACCAACAGAUCCAUGUCAGAUGCCAUAUCAUUUGCCCUUUACUUCUCCCUAGAACAUCUUGACACCAAGAACAGCUACGUAAGAAUCCUACUCAUUGACUACAGUUCAGCCUUCAACAUUAUUAUCCCCUCAAGACUGGUUACUAAACUUAGUGAUCUCGGACUAAGCCCCACUCUCUGCAACUGGAUCCUCAGUUUCCUGACCCACAGGCCACAAUCAGUGAAGAUUGGGGAUAAUAUUUCAUCCUCACUAACACUCAACACUGGAGCCCCCCAGGGGUGCGUACUCAGCCCCUUACUGUACUCACUGUAUACCCAUGACUGCAUCACCAAAUACCAGACUAAUGCCAUUUAUAAGUUUGCUGAUGACACUACCAUAGUCGGCUGAAUCUCAGAUGGCGAUGAAACAGACUACAGACGGGAGGUGAAGACCUGGAAAAAUGGUGCACUGAGAACAACCCAGCUCUCAACGCCGGCAAAACCCAGGAACUCAUUAUUGACAUUCGGCAGGAUGUUACUCAUGCCCCCCCGCUACACAUUAACAGCACAGAGUGGAACCAAUGGAGAGUGUCAAGCUCCUGGGAGUGGUCAUCCACAACAAGCUUUCUUGGAUUCUUCAUGUGGAUGCACUGGUUACAAAGGCCCAACAACAUCCCUCCUUCCUCAGGCAGCUGAGGAAAUUUGGCAUGAUGGUGAAAACCCUUGCCAACUUUUAUAGGUGCACCAUCAAGAGCAUUCUGUCUGGAUGUAUCACUCCCUGGUACGGCAACUGUACCAUUCAAGAUCGGAGACGGUUACAGAGUGUGGUGAACUCGGCCCGGACAAUCACAAAGGCUAUUUACCUAUUACUUACUUAUUGAUGCUACUUAACUCUGUGACCUGCCUGUAUUGCUCGCAAGACAAAGCUUUUCACUGUCCCUUGGUACACAUGACAAUAAAAUUAAUUCAAUUCAA